RNAcentral lists this unclassified non-coding RNA (240 nucleotides) under soil metagenome. RNAcentral's name for it is "partial contains 5.8S ribosomal RNA, internal transcribed spacer 2, and large subunit ribosomal RNA". The record is from RNAcentral.
AACAUCGCGCACCUGCGGGAACCUGCGGAGGGAUCACUAUAGAAAACAUAUACUCCUAGAGGGGAUGGGAGAAAGAAGAUAUACUUCUCCUCUUUUUCCUGUCUUCUCUGGGCAAACAAACAUACAUGACUAAGAAAACAGUAAUCCACAGAGAGAUGAUGGUUUGGUUUGACUUGGAUAAUAACAUGCCUCUCUCUCAACAAAAAUUCCUGUCUGAUAAGUAGCCUACUGUGAUUUGGG